This 296-nucleotide long non-coding RNA is filed under the name Lynx pardinus (Iberian lynx). The record is from RNAcentral. Lineage: Eukaryota; Metazoa; Chordata; Mammalia; Carnivora; Felidae.
CGUAUGCUUUUAAACUCACUAAAUGAAAGCCCAGCAUGCAUGCUGCCUCCCUCCAAAUUAAUCACUGGAUUAAAUGCAAGACGUGCACCCCAAAUCAAUAGCUUGUGACAGAGAACUCCUGCCUGUGCUUCAGGAAAAUUCCACUUCCUUUCAGAUGUUGUCACUUGAAAUGUCAGGAAGUUUCCAUUCAUCACCCACCCUUGAAAAGGCCACCAUGACCAUACUUCACAUUUCCUUGCUGCCUUUCUUCAGAGGAAUUAAGGCAUAUGGCAGAGGGAGCCUUCUCAUUGUCACAG